RNAcentral lists this long non-coding RNA (23320 nucleotides) under Ananas comosus (pineapple). RNAcentral describes it as "long non-coding RNA (ACOM_LNC018462)". Lineage: Eukaryota; Viridiplantae; Streptophyta; Magnoliopsida; Poales; Bromeliaceae. The record is from RNAcentral.
AAGAGAAUAGGGUAUAUAUAUAUAUAUAUAUAUAGGCCAUGGCUACUAUACUAUUAUGAGUAUUGGAGCUCUCGUACUUAUAAGUUGUUUUCAAUGAUGGAGCUUCCGAAUCGAUGAUCUACUCCAUUAAAUAUGAUCUAGAGUAUUUGAAACUUCUAGAAAAUAAAUUUCGUAAAUUUUCGAAAUCAUAAUAAAGUCUAUCAAGUGGGCAUAAAAUGAACGGUCAAAAUCGAACGACAUCCUAAAAAAGGAUGAUCGGAUCAUUUAAUUUAAGAUCAGAGUUAUUGAUCUCUUUAUCUAUGUAGUGAAUAGAAUUUUCUAUCAAAAAUUCAACAAAUUUCGAUUCUUUUACAUUGUUAAACUAGCAAGUAUCCCAUACCGGCCGUUAAAAAUUGUCAAAUUUGUGACCUCUUGAUCGUAAGGUAAAUGAUGUCGAAAAAUUAUAAAAUUUAAUUUCUAGAAGUUUUAAAUACUGUAAAUAACGUUUAACGGUGUGGAUCAUCGAUUCGGAAGCUCUAUCAUCGAAAACAACUUAUGAGUACGAGGGUGAUCGUACUCAUAAUAGUAUAGUAGCCGGACCCUAUAUAUAUAUAUAUAUAUAUAUAUAUGUAAAAGAUUAUAACAGAGGAAUUUGUUCUGAAUUUUAGUUUUUUUUUUUUUAUUCUUUCGGGAAACGACAGCGACGCCCUUAGAGAGUCCCACCACAUGAAACUGGAACUCAAACUCAGAACCUCUUAAACCGAGCCAUAAGCUGCGUUUGGUUGCAGGGUAUUCCAGAACAAGCUGGGAUAUCCCCCAAUCAAUAUUCAAGUAAAAAAAAAAAAAAGAGGAGGAUUCUUUGUUCCAGACUUAACGGGUUGUUCAACCCAUUAAGCCUGUUCUUCUCAGCUUGGAGAACUGGCUUGAAUAACUUGGGUCCCCUAUAAAGCUUUCCAUUUUGUCCAUUAAACCCUUCGCCUCAAACGAACCAAAAAAAAAAAAGAAUUUUUCAGCUAAGUUUAUUUCUAAAUGAAAUAAACGAAACAGAUAGUGUGCUACCUAUCUCUCCAAAAAAAAGAAAUUAUAAAUUAAUAUUUAAUAAAAUAAAAUAAAAAAAUAGAUUGAAUGAUUAAUUAAUAAGUACUAAUCCAUUUUAAAUAUUUAUAUUUUUAAAUUAAUUUUGAAUAAAUUUAAAUAAAUGUCUAAAUUGAAUACUACUAAAUUAAUAUUUUCAAAAUAAUGUACAAAUAUACUUAAUUUGUAAAUUAAUUUAUUCUAAUACUUAAUUUAUUAAAUUAUAUUUAAUUAUUAUAUUCAAGGGCAAAUUUAUCAUUCUAUAUAAUUUUUAUCUUUUCAACAUCUAAUUCCAGUAUAAGCACCUAAACACUAUAAAUAAUAUUUUCUAGGAACAAACAAACAACAUCCAGACGAAAUUUAUAAUUUGUUCUAGCUUAUAUCAAGAUAUCUCCUAUUUUUGGGAACAAUAAAAAUUAUUCUUUAAAAAUUUAGUUUUCACAAUAAAAAUUAUUCUUUAAAAUUUAGUCUCACUAUUUGGAUACUGAUGAUUUGGCUACAUAAGAAUGAGUUAUAUUUUAGGGAUAGUGAAGGGAUGUAGGGCCUUGCAGUUUUAAAAACGUAUGGAAACCCCCUCAACCAUCGGCUGUUUUGAAAAAGAUCCCUCAACUUUUAGAUUUAUGUUUUUUUGAGACCCCUUCAGUUUCUAAUUUUUUUGAAUUAAAUGAAUUCGAUUAAAACAAUUAGGGGUUUUCUCAAAUUUAUUGAUAAUUUCACAAAAUUUAACAACUCUAUUUAUUUUUAAGCAAAUAAAAAUAUGCAAAUUAAAUUAUUAAUGAAGAAAAUUUGAGAGGAUUGCAUUUAAACAAAAACAAAAAAGACAAGAUGAGGGGCCAAUUUCAAAAUAGCCAAAAAGGCCUAAGGCUCUAUUUUGAAAUUGGCUACAUUUGAGGGGCUCUCCGUACAUUUUUAAAAUUUUAAAAAUAACCUCAAAUUGCGACUUUCACGAAAUUAACAACUUUUAUUUAAUUUUAAGCAAAUAAAAAUAGACAAAUUAAAUAAUUAACGAAGAAAAUUUGAGAGGAUCGCAUGUAAACAAAAACAAAAAAAAAAAUAAAGGUAAGGGGCCAAUUUCGAAAGAACCCAAAAGACCUAAAGGGUUCGUUUCGAAUUUCCCUACAUUUGAGGGGCCAAUUUCGAAAUAACUGAAGACCUAAGGGUCUAUUUCGAAAUUGCCUACAUUUGAGGGUUCUCCAUGCAUUUCUAAACAAAACUGACCUUAAAAAAGAUGGAAAAGUCUACCUGUACUCCUAUAGAAAGGUGUAUAUCCUACAACUAUCAGAUCCAAUGGCUGAUAUUAAUCCACUAGCACAGUAGCUUCUAACCUCACACCUUUUUUACUUCUUACUAAAGCUAACUUAAAUUAAACCCUACUACACUUCUCUCUCCCGCACAGCUCCUCUCGCUAUCUCUGUUUCUCGCUCUCUCUCGCUUCCUCGCUUUCUCUCGCUCCCUCGCCUCUCGUCAUCUCACGCUCUCCCCUUUCUCUUUCUCUCACUCUCGCUCGCAGGGCACUCCACUCCAUCGGGCAGAAGUUCGGCAGCGUUCGUUCCACACAUCUCGUGUCCGAAGCCGUCUCGAAGGUGUCUCUCGGCUUCGCCUUUCUCCAUUGGUAGGAGGUCGCCUCUCAACUGCUCCCCUGUCCAUCCCAGUACCUGUGACGCAUUCCUUCAGUCGUGAGCGUCCGAAAUUGGGAACGAUUUCGGAGCUAAUUCGGCCACAACCGAAACAGAUGAUUCAACUCAAACAGGGCAUUUUUUUAAAAUUUCUAUAAUCUUUUAUUUUCAAUUUUUAAUUUAAUACAAAAUGUAUAUUUUGAGGGUUUAGGGUUGCAGCUGCGGAUUGUCUUUGCGUGCUCCCAGACUUUUCGCGUCACCGAAUAUGGUGAAUAAUUUAUUUUCAGGAACACUGGGGUAUAUUGCGGAUAUAUCAUUAGUUCAUUUUUAAGAAUAAAGAAAUUAUAUAGGAUUAGGGUAGGGUUACAAGCUAUUAUGGCCAGCAUUGAUAGUAUGUUCAAAUCCAUAGACUUGGAUGAAUCUAUAUGCAAGCUUGUGGUUUAAAUCUUAAUAUAGCCGCUGAUAGAAAUAUUCACAAUCGGCAUUGACGAGUGAGCAGUUCACUAUUAGGUGUUUAGGGUUUAGAAUUUCCUUUAUGGUUCCGAAACAUGUAGGAGUUGCAAUGUACCCAUAUGGCAUAAUAUAGACAAUCCUAGGGCCAUAAUAGAACAACUCCUAUCAACGCAGGUAUUAGAACACUUUGAUCUAAUAAUAAAUAGAUGUAAAGGUUAUAUAGAACACUCUUCAUAAGUUUAUCAGUGGAAGCACUGUUUAGAAUUAGAAACAUUUCUCUUUAGUCCAGACGAAACAUAUUGUAAGCUGCCACAGAGGUAAACCAAUAGAACUGGCAGAGGGCAAGAUGGUAAAUCGAGCGACCUGAUAAAUAUUCGAUGGGACUAUCGCAUGCCAUAGGGGUCAUAAUAAACAUAUUUUUACAGUAUUACAUAAAAUUUAGCCCUCAACCGCAGUAUUCUUCUGCGAACAGAAUUGCGUGAUUGAAUGCCUGCGAGCUAUUAUAUUAGUUGUAAUCGUAUUUGUUGUCCUUUUCUAUUUACUUGUUUUCUGAACAUGCUUCUUGUUUCCGCAUCAAAUACGUCACUGUAAUUAAUCUAGUAAUAGACUAAUUUUGUGAAGAUGUGGCAUUGGAUCCGCAUCUAUACAGUCACUUUCUGGAUAAAUAAAUACACAAACAAUGCAACAGCUUUAGAUAUGUACUUAUUCCGUUACAUAGUAAAAUUGGCGUUGGCAUUUGCUAUCGAUUGAUAAAGAACGACGUAUUAAGAGUUGAACUCAUUGACCACAGCGGGCACAGACGCGGCACAGCGCUGGUAUAUUUAUUCAUUCUCAGUUAGACAGAGGUUUUUAGUUAUUAAUUCACGAAUGCACAGUAACAUCUACCUAUAAAUCGUUAAUAAAUUAACACAUUUUUUUUAGUCUUGAAACGAAAUGGUUUGCGUUCUAUUUGAGACAUCCUCAAAUCCGCUGUCGGCGCCUGCUGCGUCAAUAUUGCAUAAGGAAUAGUUAACAACAGGGUUCCAUCGAAGCUUGAUUGUGCAUUAACACAUCUUUUUGCCCGAAAGAAUCGUAAGAAACGCCUCCCCGAUCUAUCAUUGUACAUAAUGACCGGCUGCCCUCUUCCUGCUCAUAUGGUCAGGGCGAUUCUAAAGGACCAUGUUGCUACAUAUAUACUUCAUUAAUUGAGUGCAUAGUCGCAAAAGAUGAAUCUGCAAUGUUAUAGAAUUUUGCAAUUGUUCUGGUAAGUACAGUGUUGUAUGUAUAUUAUUGUGCAAUUGUGAAUGGUAACUCAGCCAGAGUUAAUUAUAAUGAUUUGAAUGUCAAUUGUGUCCAUUGUGAGUGGUCGUAUCACAGAUUUUUCAUAUAUCAUUUGAAUGUGCAAUGUGAAUUAUGACUAGGUAAUUCUUGUAUUUUUGCUUAUCAUAUUCAUUGAUUUAUUUUGUGUAAUGUGAGUUGUUUGAUAAAGAGUCUAGUUAAUUUAUCCCAUUGAUUAAUGUAUCAAUUUACCGUGAUUUGUCAUAUUUCUCCCGAUUUUAUCAUAGAUGAAUUUACCUCUAUAAUUUUAUUAUGUUGCAAAAUAAUUUAUGAGAGUUAUCGUAUCGGAGAUAGACAUUCAGAAAGUACAAUGGGCACAUGUUGAGAUUGAUGAUGUCCCUAAGUUGCGUUGAGAACGCAGUAAGUAUUAGAAGUGUCCGUCUGAACUACAACCAGACUACACGAAAGGUCAGAUCACCUUCUGUUAGCGCUCAACAUCCUCCUAUAAUCACCUAUGGUGUAUUUACUUUCCUAUAGAUUCCCAAGUGGUAAACUGUUCUAAUUUUUACGCAACAGCAAAGAAAUGGUACCAUAUAGAAUUGGUAAUAAAGCAUAGUGCUGUAUUUUGGUGGCUCAUUUAGUACUACAGAUGUUGGGUGCAUAUAAAACUAUUCCAAUUUAAGGCUAUAACCGCACAACCCAAAAGCUACCAUAUAGAAGCAAAAAUAGAUAGAAAUGGCAGGUAUAGGUAAAAAACUUAGCCCUACAGAGUUCCGAGAGGGUAAUAAACGGUUCUAAUUAACGCUAUAAGUACAACAAAGGAGACCAUAUAGAAGUGGACAUAUAAAUGUGGCAGGUAUUUCGGUGUGCUCUUUAGCCCUACAUAUGUUCCGGGGUGUGGUAUAACUGUUCCAUUUUAAGCUACAACCGCACAACCCAAGGCGACCAGAUAGUAGAUAGAUAGAAGUGACAGAUAUAUGGGUGUACUCUUUAGCACUACAGAUGUUCCGAGGUGUGGUAUAACUGUUCCAUUUUAAGCUAUAACCGCACAACCCAAGGCUACCAUAUUGAAGUAGAUAGAUAAAAGUGGCAGGUAUAUGGGUGUACUCUUUAACACUACAGAUGUUCCGAGGAGUGGUAUAACUGUUCUAUUUUAAGCUAUAACAGCACAAGNGAUGUCCCUGCGCCGGUUGAGGAGGCGCAGGUAAGUAUUGAGCGUCGUCGCAACUACAACAGCAACGAAAGGGUCAGAUUCACCUUCUGUUACAGCUCAAGUCCUUCUUAAUCACUUAUUUGGAGGCCCGACGCGCGACGAGGUUAGUGCUGCCAUAUAGAAGUGGACAUAUGUAUCUAGCUGGCAUAUAGGGGAGUGGUUUAGCACUACAGAUGUUCUGGGGAGUAGUAUAACAGUUCCAUUUUAAGCUAUAACCGCAAAAGCAAAGGCUACCAUAUAGAAGUGGACAUAUAGAUGUGGGAGGUAUUUGAGUGUGCUCUUUAGCCCUACAGAUGUUCCGGGCAGUGGUUAAAUUGUUCUAUUUUAAGCUAUAACUGGAAAAAUAAAUGGUACCACAGAGAUAAUAUUAUAUAGAUGUGAAAGGUAUAUGGAUGUGCUCUUUAGGCUCGACAGAUGUUCUAGAGAGCAUUAUAAUUGUUCCAUUUUAAGGUAUAACCGCACAACCCAAGGCUGCCAUAUAGAAAUGGACAUUUAGAUGUGGCAGGUAUAUGGGUGCGCUCUUUAGCCCUACAGAUGUUCCGAGGUGUGGUAUAACUGUUCCAUUUUAAGCUAUAACCGCACAAGUAAAGGGUACCAUAUAGAAGUGGACAUAUAAAUGUGGCAGGGAUUUGGGUGUGCUCUUUAGCCCUACAGAUGUUCCGGAGUGUGGUAUAACUGUUCCAUUUUAAGCUAUAACCGCACAAGUAAAGGGUACCAUAUAGAAGUGGACAUAUAAAUGUGGCAGGGAUUUGGGUGUGCUCUUUAGCCCUACAGAUGUUCCGGGGUGUUGUAUAACUGUUCCAUUUUAAGCUAUAACCACACAACCCAAGGCUACCAUAUAGAAGUAGAUAGAUAGAAGUGGCAGGUAUAUGGGUGUACUCUUUAGCCCUACAGACGUUCCGAGAAGUGGUAUAACUGUUCUAUUUUAAGCUAUAACAGCAUAAGUAAAGGGUACCAUAUAGAAGUGGACAUAUAAAUGUGGCAGGGAUUUGGGUGUGCUCUUUAGCCCUAUAGAUGUUUCGUGGGGUGGUAUAACUGUUCUAUUUUAAGCUACAACUGAAAAAAUAAAGCCUACCACAGAAAAUAUUAUAUAGAUGUGAAAGGUCUAUGGGACUGCUCUUUAGCCGUACAAAUGUUCCGCAGAGUGAUAUAACAGUUCUAUUUGGAACUAUAACCGCACAUUACAUAUAGAAGUGGAUUAACAUUAGAACAAAAUUUUUCUUUACGCCAUAAGUUGUAAUACAAUAUUAAAAUAAAACGUAGAAUUUAAAGCAACAAAACCAUAUGGCAUCAGGACCAUUGAUAUAAUAUAAAGUCUACCACAAAAUACUACAACAGGUUAUAUUUGUACAACACAACGACCAACAUAACAACACUAUAUAAAAAUUAUUACAGCUUGCAUGAUACAGGGUGGUCAUGUACCCUUGCCACACAAGUUAUAGCAGGAUGACCACAUUAUCCCACUGACUAUCCCAUACAUGACAAAAAUAGCCCAUUUCCAUCUUUUUCUUUUUGCUGCAACUGCGACUUCUUCCCGCAACUUAUUAUUGCUUUCUAGUAAACCAUUAACCACUGAGAUACUCUGGCUCGUAAAUUGUGGGUCGUACCACCCAAAAUAAUUACAUGCGUUACUCUCCUGCAUCUGAAAGAUAAUAUAAAUUACACAUCAAAUAAUGUCAAUAUAUGAAUCAACAAGUUUAUAGUAGCCAGCUUUACCCUAUAUCUUGAACAGCCAUAAAAUCUCCGACCCGGAUUAUUUUNNNNNNNNNNNNNNNNNNNNNNNNNUCGGGGUAAACCACGUCGUUCAAUUUUGCCGCAUCCUCGAUUGUCGCCUCCGUACUUGCCGCGUCCAAUUUGAUCGCAGAAUCCGCCUUCGCGCUUCUUUCUCUUCCUCUCGUUCUCCCUGUUUCUAGCACAGCACAACUCCUCUCGCUCCCUCUCGCGCCCUGCCCUCGCUCUCUCUCGCGCCCUGCUCCCGCUCCCGCUCGAGCUCUCCUCUCUCUCUCGGUCGCUCGCUCGCUCGCCUCUCUCUCUUUAGGUCGCUGGCUCGCUCGCUCGCCUCUCUCUCUCAGUCGCUGGCGCGCUCGCCUCUCUCUCUCUUUAGCUCGCUGGCGCCAAAAAUUAGGAAAAAAAAGGAAAAAGGUGAUGGGCUAAAAUGUGGGAGUGAGGUUAACACUGUUUUUUUUUUUUUUUUUAACCAAGUUUAUAUCACCCGUUGGAUCAAAGAGUUGUAGGAUCUACAACUCAAUAUGGGGUGUAUGGGUAGCACGACUCAAAAAAGAUAAGGUAAGGGGUCAAUUUCGAAAUAACCCAAAAGACCUAAGAGUCAAUUUCAAAAUUGCCUACAUUUGAGGGGCUCUCCAUACAUUUUCAAACAAAAUUGACCUUAACAUAAAAAAAUUGCGACUCCGCUGGGGAUCGAACCCAGAAUCUCUGGUUCCGUAGACCAGCGCCUUAUCCAUUGGGCCACGGAGUCAUUUUAUAAUUAAUUCCCUUAACAUUUUAUAAAUUAUUUAUAAUUUAUAUUGGCUUUUCUUUCCUCAUUUUAUUUUUCCCUUCUCUUUCUCUCCUCUCCUCUUCAUCUUUUCCACGAAGAACCUUCUAAAACCCUUUCCCCGUCCCCGCCGCGCUCCGGAGCGAUGAAGACGAGAUCAUCGGCGGCGGCGCCGGCGCCGGCGAGGUCGGUGCCGGCGCCGGCGAGGAGGGCGACUACGAAGCCUAGGGCGAAGAAGAAGCCCCUCAAGGACGAUCGCAACAAGCCCAAGAAACCCCCCACCGCAUUCUUCUACUUCUUGUACGCCCCCCGUUAAUAAUCACCCCUUCCCUGUAUCCAUUUCCUAGGGUUCUAAUGUAGGUAAAUAGAUACUCGGUACUGUAAAUUGGUACUUGGAAUUUCGUAAUAGGUACUUAAAAUUUUCCUAAAUGAAUAUCUAAACUUUUAAAUUUUUUUGUUUUACUAUCGAGUAACAAAAUAUUCCAUUAGUUUAAAGAUAUGUUGCAGUCGAUGCUAAGGUUUGGUAGUAAAAUCAAAAGUUUGAAAGUUAAGGUCAUCUAUUUUAAAAACACUAUUACAUUAGGUAGUAAAAUCAAAAGUUUUGAAGCAUGCAUAUGUACCGUGAAAAAUGCGAUAGUUUGGUUUAGAUCUAUAGAUCUUUUAAUGCUGAUGAGUGGAAGCCAAACAAGAACUAUGUAAAAUUUGCGCGUAAUUAGGUUUGUUGAUUUACUAGAUUAAGCAGUAGAUAGAGGCUUAUGUCGACUAUAUUAGUUAGCAUCUGAUUAGGGCAUUUUUGCACUCUCUGAAUAUUUUGCUGUUCUGUCUGAACUGAGACUGUAAAUUAGUGUAGAAGUAUGUUUUUGUUGUAGAACAAAUUAGUGAUAGUACAAUAUAACUUGACCUUGGAGUGCUCAAAUCUCUCAUACGAUACACAACCUUUCUCCUCAAUUCCUAAUGGUUGAUUCGCCUGAUGGAAAGAAAGAAAUGCACUGCUUUACUAGGAAACUGGCCUUGAGGUUUAAUGGCAAUCUCUCUUUCUUUCAUGGCUCAUUUUUAGGCGAGAAAUCGAUGCUUGUAACUGUUUUCUAGUGAACUAUCGGGAGUCUAGAUGUGUUAGUUAGUUCUGUGUCCAGAUGGAUGGAAGGUAAUAGCUUGUGGAAAUAUUUGAAGAACAUGUUCUCCCAAAAAAAAAAAAGAAGUAUUUGAGGAACAUAGAAAAAUAAAAUACAAAGGGACUUGAAAAGAGACGUAUAUGAUUUUGAGUGGAAAGUGAUUUGGUAGUGCCAGAUAAAAUCUAGCGAAGUUUCAAUAAGUGGUGUAUUGCUUUAAGUUUGGCAUGUGAGUUUGCUUUCAUGAUGUUAUAAUUUCCCUAAAGUAUGCUUAUUCACUGCAUCAUAGUAAUAGUUAUUUAUAGUUUGCUUUGUCUAAAUGAGUAAUAUAACUACUUAUGUCUUGCCAUUCUGUUUAGCUAGCAUCUCUCUGUGUAUUGAUUAUAUAUUUUGGUUGACUGACUUGCGGAAAGCUGACUUGUUUAUGUGAAUGUGCAUCGAAACCUGGUGUUCUUUUGAAGAGAAGAUUUUAGGAAAACCUACCAACAAGAGAACCCAGAUGUCAAAUCAAUGCGUGAUGUAUGUAUAUAUGUACUCUUAAUACUCAAAUUUAGUCUCUUUCCUUUGGUUGCUUAUGCAUAUUGUCUUCCAGAUUGGAAAAGCAUGUGGAGAAAAAUGGAAAACAAUGUCAUUUGAGGUUAGCAUCUAUCUUCUUUUUCCCAUUUGAGGCAUGACAGGCCUUAGCAUUAUUAUUAUUAUUAUUAUUAUUUUCUCUGCAAUUGAUUUAUCAUUUUUUUAUUAUGAAUUAGGUACGAAGGGUACGAGUUAUCUACCAGCAGUAGUAUGUUUAAUAAACAUAAUUAACAUAGGAGUACAACUAGUUCCUUGAAAUGGUAGUUCUGAGCACAACUAAGAAAAUAUGAGGUGAAGAAGUGUGUAAAGCCUGCUUCUUGAAAUAUUGAAGGUUACAACAAGAAACUUCAUUUUUUCUAUCUGGUUUUACUUUAGCUGACUGCACGAAACUUAAAACUGCAAUCAUGGGAAGUUAUGAUAGCAAUCGAUGUUGAUAAAGAAACUGUAAGUGGAGCUGAAAUGGACAAAUCUAAUUUAUGUAGCUAACGCGAAUAAGUUUGGAUUAAUGACUAAGUUGUUGUCACUCUGCUGCUGCUGCUGUCCAGUCCAGACUUGAUGCCCUGUACUUCUAGUUUAAUCAUGCUUUAUAUUGGCUCACGAUACACCAAGGGCUAGGCUAGAAAAUCCUUUUUUUUCUUUCCUUUUUUUGUGUAGGGAUCUGGGAGCUCUGAUAUAAACUCCAUUCUGUCUUUGCAAUACUAUAAGGACACUUUUUCUAGCACACAAUUUUGUACAUGGGGCAUAUCACUACUUUUGUUCCUUGAAUGCAUUUCUAGAGUCAGAAAAUAGAGUUCAUAACCCUUAAACACACUCCAUUUUGGGGAAAUGACAAGAAUGGUGCAUAAAGAAUAUGUUAUAUAGCAAAGCAUGUUAUUUGAAACAUUUAAGAGCCAAUAUCUGACGAAGUAUCUAUCCCUGAUAAAUCAAGGUCGGAUAUUUUAUGUAUCAAAUUUCAGCGGACACUUUCUCUUAGUACAAUCUAGCCAAUUAGUGGACAAUCUUCUAUUACAAGUUUCCUUGAUUAUUUUUGAUACAAAUAUUUCUCUACAGCCUAGCUAAGCAAGAAAAGUAUCAUUUCUCUUUGACUGAAAGAGUCGGCAGAUUUUCCUAUUUUAAGGUGUUAGUGCAUGUAAAACAGCAAAAAGCUUCCUGACUAGAAGUUCUCAUUCUACCUUUUUCAUUCAAAAAUAAUGAGGAAAAAAGAAAAAAGACAACUUUCUGCUAAGAGGCUUUCUUAGAAAGUAAGCUUCUAGUCUCAACAGUAAUAAGUGCUUCCAAGACUUGUAGUUAUGAUUGCUCUGUUCUUUCAGUUCUUUAGUUGCAACAUUUCACAGAAAUCUCCUUUUCUGGUCCUUGAUAUUUCUUGUAUUCCUAAUAGCAGUUGGUUUAUUCUGCUAGAUUAGCUUACAAAAAACCUUGAACCUCCGUUGUGUACAUCAGAUAAUUGUCCAUAUAGCUCUAUUUGCCAGCUUUCAUUUUGAUAAUUGUUCAUCUAAACAAAAAAUAUUCAGAAGGGAAGAGAAUUUGGAUUUUAGGAGUUUCUAUAGAACAGUCUGUUUCAAAAAGGCAGGUUGUUGCUCAAGUUGUUAGCUAGCUAAAACUCACUUCAAUAACCAUGAAAAUGCACCCUGGAAGAGAAAUAAGUUGGGCGUGACCUCGAGCUUGUAUGGUUUCCUUAUAAGGAAAAUCGAGUUGAGACCAAUUCAUGAACUAUAUAAGUUUCAUAGGGCAGAAUAUUCCGAGGAAUAUGAAGAUUCUUCAUUUCAUUUUUUCUCUUUUCUUCCUCUGUCUUCUGUGUUUUCUCUUUUUCCCCAUGUAGUGGUAUUAAGUAUCAAUUGCUUAUAAACUUGUUCUGGAUAGGAAAAGGUUGCAUACUAUGAUAUAGCUACAGAAAAGCGAGCCGAGUUCGAGAGGGCAAUGGCAGAAUAUAUUAAGAGAAAGGUAAAAUGAUCUUCAUUUACUGCCUUCAGUAGUUCAUUCUAUCCAUUUUGUACACUAAUCAUGUUCUAUUAUUCUGCUUCCUUAUUUCAUCUAGGAAAGUGGGGACUUUUCUGAGGAAUCCGACUAUGAAUGAAUAUCAGAUCAAAUUGUUUGAUGAAAAAUCAAGGAUUGUGUGCAGAAGCCAAUCUUGUACAUUGUACUUGCGAGGGCUUGUCAUUUGGUAUCAAAACUUAGUUCAGCUUCUUUUCUUCUUGGCUCCUCUUUCUCUUACCUUCUAUUGCAUUCUUUUUUGCUUCAUUACACUGCAUGAAACGUUUAGCAUUUUCAAAGCUAAUUUUUAAAACCAUAAAAUAGCGAAUAUUGAGCAUUCGAAAGUAAGACAUCUGUUAGUAGAUAUAUUGUGCAAAUGGAGCAAUGUUAUUCCAGAUCUAUUUGUCGCAAAAGUAUCAAACAACAUCACGUGAUUGGAAUGGAAAAAAAAAAAACAAAAAUCAAAAAUCAUGAUUUGAAGAUCUUUAUGAACAGGUUUGUUAAAUCCAAAAUAUUUGUUGUGCCCUGUAAAAGACUCAGAACUUACUGGCACAUCAACUGGACUCCAGCUUGCGGCAGUCCUAGUUUAUUAGUUUAAAAAACAUGGGCAGUUCCUGUACUAUUCCCAUAUUAUAACUUGGUCUCUGAACAUUUUGCGCAAACGCUUUAGGCCUUGAACUUCGCCAUUCCAUAAUCUGAAAAAAAAGUGUAUGUUUCAUUGUAAAGGAGCAGUUUAACCCUGUUUGCAGUGAAAGUUCUUUUUUUAUUUGUUUUUUCGCUGCUAAAAAUGUGUGGGAGUAUCUUGAACUAGGCUCAUUUUGAUUUGACUAUCUAAUGUUGAGUAAGUUCCGAUUUUGCUACCCAACUCUUUAGUUUAUCUGAUUAGAGCAAUUUGAUUGCUCUUUCCUUCAGAAUUUCAGUACACCGAUUAUUCUAGUAGAUUUGAUUAGACUAUUUAAUUACAUGAUUAAUGUGACUAAGUUCCAGAAUUAAAUUAAUUGAAAAUUAGAUAGACAAAUCAAACUUUUAAAAUCAUAGUUUAGAUAAAUUUCAUUUAUUUUUACUCUUUUUCUUUCCCCUUCUACGUCAGAUAUUUAAGUUUAAAAACUACAGUGUUUGAGUAUAGAGAUAUAGCAGGUUCUAUCCUGCAUUUUACCCAGUUCAAUUUAUUAUUCUAAAAAGAACAUGGUUCCCCAGAGUAAAGUUACUUUCUUAUUAAACCUGGAACUUCAACUCUCUUUGAAACAUUAUCAUUGUUUUGGUGACCCAAUUGGCCCCUACCAUUGACUCCUUUGCCCCCUCAAUAAGAUAUGCUCUGAUGCUUCACUCCUUUUCAGUGGUUGAUCUGUAUUUGCUGCUACAAAGCUUUCUUUUAUAUUCUCUUUUCUCUGUGGACCUUUUCUUAUUUUUGUGGCUCUCAUAAUGUACAAUGUAUAUAUGUGUGGAGACCCCUCAACAAUAGUCCAUUACAAACUAGAUCCCUCAACUUCUAACUUCUUCGGAAUUGAUAUAUCAGAACCGACGAAAAAUGGAAGUUGAGGAGUGUUUGUCCAAAUGAUCUAUAGUUGAGUGGAAAAUCGAUUCGCCUCAAAAAAAAAAAAAGGAGAAAAUAAAUAAAAAGAAGUAAAAAUAUAUUAAAAAAAUUUAAAAGAUAGUAGGCAUGGGUGUGUCUCCAAAAUUAUUAUACUAUUUAAUACUGUACAUUUUGAAGCUGAGCAUGUUCCAAAGGUAGUGACAAAGAUGACAUUUUUGCAAAAAACUAACCCCCUUGCUUUUACUCUCCGCAAAUCUCUCAUUCAGAUCUCCAGCAUAUAUACUUGCGAUUUCGCAAAACUAGCUAGCGGGUAUUUUCGCAAAAAAAAAAAAGAAAGAAAAAAAAAGAAAAGCCUGCGAUAAAUACAAAUCUCUUAAUCUAACAUGCUCCGGCGACGUCCUCCGGGCGGAACCUGCGGGAGCCGUCGGCGAGGCAGCUGUCGUCGAAGUUCUUGGCGUAGCUGGCGGCGUCGUAUCCGAAGGUGAUGAGGGGCUUGGACGUGCGCAUGCUCCUGCACACGCCCUUCUUCCCCUCCCUCACCAACCUGUCCAGGAGCCUCCGCCACGACGGCGCGCUCCGCUGCUGCCGCUGAGCAGCGUCGCCGCGGGCGAGGAGGUGGAAGCGCGAGGGGUUCGACGGGCGGUGCAGCACGAGCCACGACGGCGGCGACGCCAUGCAGGAGGGGAAGUAGGAUGAUGAGUGGGUCGGAGAUGUGUGGGUCUGAUCCAUAUAAUUUGUGCUUGUUAUUCGUUGGAGCUAGCUAGCUAGCUAGCUAGGGUUUGUUGCAGCAGCAGCAGCAGUUAUUUUUCGAUGUGGCUAGCUAGCUAGGGGUGGGAGAGGUUUUAGGUUUGUGUGGUGGGUGUUAUAUAUAAAGAGGAUUUGGAGUUUCUCUCUCUCUCUCUCUCUCUCUCUCUCUCUCUCUGUUUGUAUGUUUUUGGAGAUGGUAUGUGAGCACGCAAAAAUAGAUAUAAAUCUUACAAUCUGUCCCAACAAUGAUUAUUUUAUCAUGCUAAGUCUUAUUACAAUUUUAAUUGUUUUACUACGAAAUAUUCAAAAUGUUUGUCUCAAUUCCUGGAUGUGUAAACUGUAGGAUUUUUCUCUGGUUCAUGGAUUGGUCUCAUGGAGCGCGCGUACAACAAAGUCCGUGCCAAUACGUGCAGCAUGUGCGUUUCCCUUGAGUAGGGGUGGAAACGAGCCGAGCUCGAGCGAGCUUAUGUCAGCUCAAAUUCGGCUUGAAAUUAAUUUCGAGCCUAAAUCUAGGCUCAAGCUCGGCUUGAAAUUAAUUCGAGCCGAGCUCGAGCGAGCCUAAUUUCCGAGUCCGAGCCGAGCCUCGGUCGAGCGGUCUAAACGAGCCGAUUGAAAUUCUCGACAUUAUAUAAUCAAUAGUUAAUUUUUAUAGAACAUUACCUAUAAUUUGAUGUAACAUGUCCAAUUAGUUCAAAAUACAAAAAUAAUUGUAAGAAAUGUGAGUUUAGGUGAUUGCCUGACUGGUGAGGGUCAGCAGAGAGAGAGAAGAGGGGAAAAAAAUUAGGGAUUUGAAAAUUUGAAUGUUAUCAUGUUUUAGGGUUAUGUGCAACAGUAAUGUCUGAAAGAGAGUGUGUUAUGCAAUUUAGAGUUGGGCUCAAUUGCAGGGUUGUACUUGUUGGGUUUAUUUUAUGGGCGAACAAUAAUGGCCCAAAUUAAAUUAAAGCCUAUAUAUAAUUAAAAUACAUUUAUAUUUAUAAAUAUUAUAUAUAUAUAUAUAAAUAUAUAUAUAUAUAUAUAUAUAUAUAUAUAUAUAUAUAUAUUAUAUAUAUAUAUAUAUAUAUACAUAGAAUUAGGCUGGAAUACUAUAAUUUAAUAGUAAAACGCUUCAUUUUGCUAUCGAAUUUUAAACCCUUGGAUGAAAAAUAUAAGGUCAGGAUGAUAUUAGUCGUUAGAGUUAGUGGUCUCGCUAGGGUUGAGUGUUUUUCACUGGGUUAUAGUUUUUAAUCCAAAUGGUUGAAAUAAUAAAAAGAGUUAAUCCAAAGGCUAAAAAACUGAUAGCAACAAUAGGAUUUUGCUACUAAUAGUAGCCCACUAAUAGUACCCAGUCUCUCUCUCUCUCCGUCUCUCUCUCUCUCUCUCUCUCUCUUCUCUCGCUCUCUCUUUUAUAUAUAUAUAUAGGGCUACUAUACUUUAUGAUAUAGACCUUGUACUCAUAAAUUUUUAAUCGUUGAUGGGAUGUGUGGUUAGGAUGAUAGUGGUCCCACAUUAAAAUGAUAGCGGUCCCCUAAGUUGAGAUGGGUAAUUGUUUGAAUAGUAUGAUCUAACGGAUAAAAAUGAUCAAUGGAAUAAAUCUAAGAGCCGAAAUCUUAUGAGUAUAUAAGAACCAAUACUCAUAAGUAAGUAGGCCGGACGUUCAUAUAUAUAUAUAUAUUAUAUAUAUAUAUUAUAUAAUAUAUGAUUAUAUAUAUAUAUAUAUAUAUAUAUAUUCGAGCUUUUCGAGCUUUUCGAGCCUAAUUCGAACGAGCCGAGUAAUACUCAAGCUCGGCUUGAAAUGAAUUUCGAGCCUUUUAUUUUGUUCAAGCUCGGCUCAUUUAAUUUCGAGUCGAGCUCGAGCGAGCCGAAUAUCGAGCCGAACACGAGCCGAACGCGAGCCGGCUCGCUCGUUUGCCAGCCCUACCCUUGAGUCUCGAUAAAAUCCGGCGUUGUUUUUGACGGAACAAUGCAAUGAACCAUACAUAUACUUUUUCUAUUAGCAAGAGUACUUACAUAUAUAUGUUAGGCCUUAAACUUUGUCUUAAGAUCUGUUUGGUUCGAAAUUUUCACUUACCGUGUAUUCUAUCGUCGUAAUAAAAGGGCAUUUUGUGGUGUAAAAAUUCUAUGUUCAGAGCCCUUGUAUGUUUUUAACUUGAAGAGCAUUUCAUUUUGGAAAAUAAAUAUGUUUUGCUACAAAUUGAUGGGGAGUUCAACUCACAAGCAUAGUUAGUUAAUUCGGAUUUGGCAAAAAUUCGGUACGGGUAUAAUUCGGAUAAAAUUCGUCUUUUAAUUUUUAAAUUCGUUGAAAAAUACGGUUAAAAAACGGAUUCGAUAAUUAUUCGGAUACGUAAUUUAUACGGAUAUUAUACGUUCACCAAUUAAAAAUUCGGGAUAAAAAAUUCGGCGAUUAAAUUAAAUCUUUUUCUCUCAAGAUUUAUGCUAUUAGCAUAAAUAUUCAUAUUUAUUAAGAAUAUAAGAAUUAAAAGCUACAAAAUUAAGCUAAUUAAGUAAAAAAAAUAUUAAACUAUAUUUUUCUUAUAAAUAAAAUAUUAUAUAAUAAUAUUUUUAUAUAAAAAUAUAAUACUAUGUAUAAUAAAUAAAUAUAUAUUUAGAAAUAAAAUUUUAUAUAUAUAUAUAUAUAAUGAGUUAAUGGCUCAUGCGGUCCACGAGGCCGAAGUGGCCUCGUGGACCGUGCGUCAAUCUAUUUCCAAACGCCGCGAUUUUUCAUCUUCUUCCCCAAACCCAGCGCCAUUUCGAUUACAAGCUCCGAAGUCCCAAAUUCAAUUCUUUUCAAAAAAUUUAUAAAAUAAUUGUUUCAAAAAAAAUUUUAGGGACAACAAAUUUUUGGGGAAAAAAAAUUUCAGCGGAAAUUUUUUUUUUCAAAGAGAUUUUACAAGGAUCUUCUGCGACGAAAGCGGCGGAGGAGAAGGAGAACGACGAUGGCGGAACGACGAUGGCGGCGACGACGCGAGCCGCGAGUCCGUGACCGCCGUUUUUUUGAACGAAUCAUUCGCGAAUCGCGAAUGAUCGCGAAUCGCGAAUGAUUCGCGGAUAAUUUUUAUUGAUGAAAAAAACGCGUUUUUUUACGCAUUUUUCCAAAAAAUGCGGAUGCGGGCGUUUAAUUCGGCAUUCUAAAUAGUCGCGAAUAAUUCGCGAAUUAAACGCGAAUUAACUAACUAUGCUCACAAGCAGAGUAUUUUUUUUUUUUUUUGUGCAUAGGAUUAUAGAGGAUGUGUCCUCUUAUUUCACGCCACUCUACAGAGUGCAAUAACUAUGUAAAAUCAAUAACUAAUCUAAUUAAACAAAAAAAAAAAAAAGUUCAUGCACCAAAUAAUAAUAACAAUAAUAAUAAUAAUAAUAACCCACUAAAAUAAUAAGGAAACACUUAAAAAAAAAUAAUGGCCACAACUUAGGCUGAGUUGGUGUUUGGUGAGAAACAGCGAAUCCGUACCCAUCUCGGAUUCCUGAAAUUAUUGGUAGUGGAAUUAGUUCAGUGUGUGCCGCUCCACUCCAAAACAACCCUCAAUACAAUAUAUGCUCUUUUUGAAUCAUUCCACGCAAUUAUUUUUUAAAACUAAAUCAUAACCACACUCGAAUGAAUAAAGACUCUCCAAUAACGUCUCAUUAAAGAGUCUCCGAUCUAUUCCACUAUUCUUGUGUAUUAAUUUUAUCUCUAUCUAAUGAUUUAUUCAAUAUUUUUUUAAUAUUAAAAUAUAUAAAAAAAAAUUUAAAUUUUAUAAAAAAUAUAAUUUUAAAAAUAAAAAUAACACCUAUAUAAAUUGGAACUCGUUUGGAGACACUAGACACUAUGCACGCUGGUACGCCCACUUUACACGUGUCGACACUCGUCCCCAGAUCUGUUGGCAAUACUUUCCUGCACCGGGUGUACGUUUACACCUCAUGAUCCGUGUGCUUAAGUUUUUUUUCAUUAUUUUUUUUUUCUAUUAAUGUACAUAGCUCAUCCUCGAGGAUUCGAGACUUACUAGAAGCUUCAUGAUCAGAUUUGAGUUUAGUAUCUAUAAUAAUAAUACAUUAGUUUAAAAUUUUAAACUAUAAAAAAAUUUUCUGUUAAAAUAACAAUAUUUAACAACCUGCAUGUAAUAUAUAAUAAUCAUAUUUUAAACUCAAAUUCUAAUUUAAUAAAUACAAUCUUUUUCUAUUUAAAAAAUUUACGCAUGAGAAAUUAUAAGCGUUUAAAUUUAAUUACCUAGGCCUCAGUUCGUACCAGAAAUUAACUGUACAAAAAGAGCUAUUGCAUGUUGGCUAGCUAUUUAUUGAUUAAAAUAAUUUUAACUUUCAAUUAUAUGACUAUAAGUUUAGUAAGCUAAUAAGUUGAAUUGAGUGAGGUUGAAGUUCACAAUAGACCUAAUAGCACGAGACUUAACAAUAAAUCUUAUGUUUAGGUGAGUUGAAUCAGGUCGAAAUUCUUGAACACUGUAAUUGAAUCCUUAAGUGCGAUGAGUGCGGUCUUACUAUCAGCAUAUUUUUUUGAAAUAAUUGGUUAGCACUUACGAUCAUAGUUAGUUAAUUCGGAUUCGGCAAAAAUUCGGUACGGAUAUAAUAUGCAUAAAAUUCGUUUUCUAAUUUUUAAAUUCGUUGAAAAUUUUGGCUUAAAAAAUAGAUUCGGUAUAAAAUAUAAGAUAAUCUAUAUUUAAAAAUUAAAAUUUAUAAGUUUUUAUUCAUAUUUUCAAUAAUUCGGGAAUAAUUCAGCUGGACCAAAAAUUCGCGAAUAAUUUUCUUUCUUUAGAAAAAAAAUUUAUAAAUGGACUGUUUAAUUCGAAUUUUCAAUAAUUCGUGAAUAAUUCGCGAAUUAACUAACAAAUCUUACGAUUCACAUUAUGUAAAAUACAUUAAUUAUUAUAUUUUAAGAGUGCAAUAUGUGAAAUGAAGCUCUGCACCCGGUGCAGCGAAUAACUCGGUCUACUCCAGUGAUCAAAAUCAGCUGGACCACUAGUGACGCACGGUACACCUAAAUCCACGAGUCACAAGCCGCCACGUCAAUAAAUCCAGGGAAUAUUGACAUGUGUCGAGUGAUGAUUGGUGGGAGUAGUGGGGGCGAAUGUCGACGAAGGAGCCCGUUGUUAUGCUGAGCUGGCGAUGUGAGGCACGUGGAACGGGUCCAACAAAUCUACUGGCGAUGAUGUGAGGGGACGCGGCAACAACCACUCCCCAUCUUUAGUGGGGCCCACAACCACUCCCCAUCUUUAGUGGGGCCCACUUGAAAUUCCGUUCCGUUUGUGCUCCUCCGAAACGGAACGCGAAUUUGCAGCGAGGGCCCCAAAAUUAUUACUCGUCGCAUUCUAGGACGUAAACUUUUUUUUUUUCGUUUAAUUGAAAAAAUUAAAAUUUUAAUGAUUACCGUAAUUGAGUUUUUUGAAGCAUCAGAUUUUGUUCCAACGAGGACGGAAUUUUGAUGCCUCACAGCGAGAGAAUUAUAUUGACAUUUUGAGUAAAGCUUCAUAUGAGAUUGCCGAGAAUAUGAGAAUGAUAAAAAGAUAUUUCUUUAUAAUUCGAGUAAGAAAAUUUCUACGUCCCACCGGAAAAAAAUGAGAAUUAUAUUUUUUAUGUACUUUUGUCGCAACUUUUUUCUAAUUGCAUUUGAGGGCUCUCAACAUUCAACAAGCCCAAAAAAAUCUUAGCAAUUGGGCUUCUUGUUGGAUUUGGGCUGGAUCUUAAUUUAUUUUUCUUUUUUGCAUAAUAAUUGCGGCCUAGUCCAGGUCCGCAUUUUAAAUGUUACAUACAUACAAAGCUUACUCUAGGUUUGUAAAAGUCCUUUUUUUGUUACUCGACAUUAAAGUUUAGGCAUAUUUCACUGCUAUUAUAGUUGAUAAGGAUAAAAAUUUAGUUGGAGUGGUCUAUAGUGUAAGAUCACUUUAUCUACUGUUCAUCAUGUAGUCGGCACAAAAUUUAGAACAGUGUAGGCAGAAGAAUUUAGUUGGAGUGAUUUAUAAUGUAAGACCACUUUAUCCACCGUUCAUCAUGCAGUCGACAUAAAAUUUAGAACAGUAUAAGCAGCAGAUAGAGCAAUUAUAUAUUGGAGGCUAUUCCUACCAAAUUUUUAUUCGACUAUAUGUCCGGUCUCGAAUAGAAAUGAGUGUGUUAUUUUGGUGGCUUAAGAACGUCCAAAAUAAAAAAUAAAAAAUAAAAAAUAAAAUGCUAAACUUUGUUCUUUUUUUUUUUUUUUUUUUGAAGUGUUGAUUGAAAAGACAACGUUCUGCAAGCAUGAAAUAUUUGACAGGUAAAAUACCUAUUUGGCUAUCACAACAUGAUCAAAGAAAUAAUUAUUAAGAACAAGUGAUUAAAAAACAAUUAAGGUCAAAAAAAAUUACCAAAGAGUGUAGUAAGGGAACAAAAAUUUGGCAGGGGAUGAUUCCAAUCUCAGACCGUUUUAUUCGACGUCAUCAAUCACGUGAGCGACAUAAAUCUCAAAGUUGCGUAAAUGAUAGAUGAGACGGUCUCACAUGGAUGACUGUUUCAUAAAGUUUUUAUUUGUGAAAAAUUACUUACAAUAUGAUCUAACCUUGCUGUUGUUGUGCACAAAAUAUUGAGCAACAAAUAAAUGUUCAUAAAAGAGAACAACAUUGUCGAUCAAAGGACAUUUUUUUUUACUAAACACUAACAUGAUACUCGGAUUGCGCUUAAUUGGUUCAUUGAAAAUGAAGGGAACCAUAGAUGCAUCAAACCGUUGUAAUAUAUUGCAAAUACCCUUUAUCAUGAAAAGUUUUUUAAAACUAAGAAACAAAUAAAAUUAUAUAUAUAUAUAUAUAUAUAUAUAUNUAUAUAUAUAUAUAUAUAUAUAUAUAUAGUCCGGCUGGGAUACUAUCGACAGCACGAAAUAUUUGGUGCUAUCAAAUUUUCUGGCUUUAGAUUUACCUCUUUUAUCAUUUUCAUCCGUUCGAUUAUACUAUUCAACCAACCAUCCACUCAACUCUAAGGAGCCCACAUCAUCAUAACCGCGCAUCUUUUAAUCCAAGGUCGGAAAACUUAAUAGCACCAAGUUAUUGAUGCUAUUAAUAGUAUUUUAGCUAGUUCAUAUAUAUAUAUAUAGAGAGAGAGAGAGAGAGAGAGAGAGAGAGAGUCCAUUUACUAUUCUAUUAAUAAGAUUGAGGACAUUGUCCUAUCAAGUCGUUUUAAAUGAUCGGAACUUCAAAUUGAUAAUCGGCACCGUUGAAAUUGAUCUACAUAAUUAGAACUGUUUAUAAACUAAAUUUUGUAAUAUUUAAAAAUCAUUAUCAAGUUCAUUAAAGAGUUGAAAAAUGAACGGUUAUAAAUGAAUGACCUUUUUAAAAUAAAGAUUAAAUUUUCUCAAUUCAUAAUCAGAGUUAUCAAACAUUAUCUAAAUAGUUUAAAGAAUUUUCUAUCAAAAAUUCAAGCAAUUUGGAUUGCUAUACACCGUUAAACAAGCAAACGGUUCAUAUAGGCCGUCAAAAAAUUGUCGAUUUUACGAUACUUUGAUCACCAUGUAAAUAAUUUUUAAAAUUUAUAAAACUUAGUUUCUAGAAACCGGAGGGGUAUAUAUGCAAAAAUCCCAUUGAACUAACUAAUUAAUAAUUGGUUCCAAUACACAUAAUAGAGAGAGAGAGUAAACAAAACAAAAUAAAAUAAACAGUGCAAAAAAUAAAAAUAAAAACAAAAUCCAAAUUUUAUUACAAAUCUAUGAAAAUCCCAACUUUGAUCAGAUGUGGCCACAUCCGCAGCAGCAGAAGAAGCAGCAGAGUGCGAAGACGAGGAUGACGGCUUCGGCGACGUAAACUACGCGGAAUAAGACGUCGUCGCGCAAAGAGAAGCUCAGGUUGAGUCGUUUCCACCGUGACGAAGACGACGACGACGACGACGAUGACGAAGAAGAAGAAGAAGAGGAAGAGAAGAAGCCCAGUCUACUGCAGCUCCAGGGCCAGCAUUUGUAUUUGGAGUUAAACUUAGAGUUAGAGCUCGUUGUUGCCAUUGAUAAAGAGGUUGACAUGUGUGUGUUGUGUUGAGUUGUUUGGUGGUGUAGUAAAAGAGAGAGGGUAUUGGAUUCAAAGUUUGGAGCUUUUAAAUUGGAAAGGGACAAGGAGAGGUGGAGAGAAUUUGGAGGGGUAUUUAUAAGUAAGAGAGAGUGAGAUUUGGAGUCAAUUAAUUUACAAUAUAAUGUAAUGAGUGGAUAAUUGCUUAAUUUACGGAGCUAAUUAUGAAUUAAAGUUGGGAUUAUCAUGAUGAUUGUGUCGGUAAAUUUCCCUUUAAUUUGUAUCGUGCAUGCGAAGCUAAAAAAAAGCCUUUUUUUUAAAGACUCAAAUUAUAAAAUUACUCCAGUAUACGUGUUCGAGUGAGCUUUCACCAGGUACAUGUAUUAAUAGGAUUGAUUUACUACAAAUUUCGUAUUGUAUAGUAGGCUGUACUGCACUAAUAGAUUCGCCAGCACUUUAGUGAAAACUUCAACCAAACUAGAAGAUAUAUGAUAUAUUUAAGGCUUUUAGGUGUACAUACACUGAAUAAUAAACAUACAUUUAAGGCUUUAGCUGUACACAUACACUACGUACGAUUGACAAUUCUGUCUGCUGUUCACGAGUCAGUUCAGUUCGACUUGAAAUGAGUUCGAAAUCGAUUGCUCGUUUAGUAGAUGAGUCGAACACGAGCUGAAUUUUUUAGCUCGAAAUCUUAACGAGUUGAAUAAGAGUUGUAGUCAGCUCGCUCGUGUUCGGCUCAAUAUAGCUCAAAUAUAUAUACAAACAUAUUAUAUAUUACAAAUUUCUAAUAUUUGGUUCUUAGGCCAACCCAAAUGUAAAUAAAUCUAUAUUUUGUGGAUUUCACUUAUUAAAUUAAGAUUCUAAUUUUUUAAAUUUCUUUCCAUUGUUCAUCUAGUAGUAAGACUGACAAUAUAACUUGCUAUUCGCGAGCCAACUCGUAUUCGGUAGUAGGGUUAGCAAUAAACAAGCCAAACAUAAGAUGAAUUUUUAGUUCGUUAGUUUUACGAGCUAGCUCGUGUUAGGCUCCAUCUCACUCGUAAUCGGCUCAUUGACGGCCCUAACACUAUGUAAUAAACAUAGUAGUAAAUUUUUGGGGGAAUGGCAUCAUAAUUUCAAAUUAAGAUGAGCUCACAUUAAAAAAAAAAAAGUACCUAAUUGUUCAUCUACUACAUUGUUGAUAUGUAGUUUGCUUUUUUAAGGAUAUGUUCUAAUAGCCGGAUGAAUAUUUAUGUAUCAAAACUAUAUAAUUCCGUUGGAGAUCUAGUACAUUAUUUAAUGCUAUUGUUUUUUUUUUUUUUUUUUUUUUUUUUUUUUUUUUUUUUUUUUUUUUUUUUUUUUUUUUUUUUUUUUUUUUUUUUUUUUUUUUUUUUUUUUUUUUUUU